GAUGAAGAACGUAGCGAAAUGCGAUACUUGGUGUGAAUUGCAGAAUCCCGUGAACCAUCGAGUCUUUGAACGCAAGUUGCGCCCGAAGCCAUUAGGCCGAGGGCACGCCUGCCUGGGCGUCACACGUCGUUGCCCCCCCAUCUACUCCUUCGGGAUUGCGGGGGGCGGAUGAUGGCCUCCCGUGCGCCUCGCCGCGCGGUUGGCAUAAAUGCCAAGUCCUCGGCGACGCACGCCACGACAAUCGGUGGUUGCGAAACCUCGGUUGCCCAUCGUGUGCGGUCGUCGCGCAUCGAGGGCUCGAAAAAAUUGCCGGGUUCCGGCUCGGCUUUCAACGCGACCCCAGGUCAGGCGGGGUUACCCGCUGAAUUUAAGCAUAUCAAUAAGCGGAGGA
This 391-nucleotide unclassified non-coding RNA is filed under the name soil metagenome. RNAcentral describes it as "partial contains 5.8S ribosomal RNA, internal transcribed spacer 2, and large subunit ribosomal RNA". The stretch from base 1 to 122 matches the Rfam family "5.8S ribosomal RNA", at positions 35 to 154 of the family's 154-position model. The record is from RNAcentral.